Molecule: long non-coding RNA, 1269 nt
Filed under: Callithrix jacchus (white-tufted-ear marmoset)
Lineage: Eukaryota; Metazoa; Chordata; Mammalia; Primates; Cebidae
Description: lncRNA (ENSCJAG00000079481.1)
Source: RNAcentral
AUGAGACUUACUAUCACGAGAACAGCAUGGGAAAGACCCACCCCCGUGAUUCAAUUACCUCCCACCUCAGUGAAGUAUCAUCUAGCUAUGCCAGUUUCCCUGCACAAGCUCUCUUUUCUUGUCUGCUGCCACAUAAGACUGCCUUUUACCUUCCACCACGAUUGUGAGCCCUCCCCAGCCAUGUGGAACUGUGGAGAAACUGAGAUUCAGACAAGGAGCUUCUUGUUCAGCAAACACUACUUAGCCAAUAAUCUAAAUGGAAGUUAAUGGAGAAUUGUUUGACUCAGUGCUAUGGUCUGAAUGUUGUGUCCCUCCCAAAUUCAAAUUCAAAUCCUAACCCCAAGGUGGUGAUAUGAGGAGGUGGAGUCUUUGGAAGGUGAUUAUAUCAUGGGAGUGGAACUGUCAUGAAUGGGAUCAGUGCCCUUGUAUAAAAGCCUCCUCAACCCUUCAACUAUGUGAGGACACGGCAAGAAGAUGCCAUCUAUGAACUGGAAAGUAGGCCCUCAUCAGACUCAGACCUACUGACACCUUGAUCUUGGACUUCCCAGUCUCCAGAACCUUGAGAAAUAAAUUUCUGCUGUUUAUAAGAGGCUUGGUUUAUGGUAAUUUGUUAUAGCAUCCUGAAUGGACUAAAACACCUAUGGUAUUAAGAAUUUUGAGGCCGGGCAUGGUGGCUCAUGCCUGUAAUCCCAGCCUUGGGAGGCUGAGGUAGGUGGAUCAAUUGAGCUCAGGAGUUCGAGACCAGCCUGGGCAAUAUAGUAAGACCUCAACUCUAUUCUAAUUUUUUUUAAUUAAAAGAAAAAAGGAUCUGAAAAUUCUAAAUCUGCUUUCUCCUCUAUUAAAAAAUUUUCAGGGCCGGGCGCGGUGGCUCACGCCUAUAAUCCCAGCACUUUGAGAGGCCGAGGUGGGUGGAUCAUGAGGUCAAGAGAUCGAGACCAUCCUGGUCAACAUGGUGAAACCCUGUCUCUACUAAAAAUACAAAAAUUAGCUGGGCAUGGUGGCGCGCACCUGUAGUCCCAGCUACUCAGGAGGCUGAGGCAGCAGAAUUGCCUGAACCCAGGAGGCGGAGGUUGCGGUGAGCCGAGAUUGUGCCAUUGCACUCCAGCCUGGGUAACAACAGCAAAACUCUGUCUCAAAAAAAAAAAAAAAAUCUUCAGAUGGCAGCUCUUAGUAUACUAGAGUCACAUUCUGAAUAUUUGUAGCCAUUGUCCACAAGGGCAGUCAGAAGACUUAAGUUAGUGGUUUCCAAACUUACUUUUUGGUCUAGAA